GGCAGCCCCCACAAGCACGUUGAAUUGUUUACCAGUCAGUUAAAAGUACAAUGAAUGUAAGGAAUAAACAGUUGUUGACUUGGUGUGUACUGACAAGGAUCAGACAUACGCACCGUUUUCGACAUGGUUACAGCAACCGCAAGGCACUUGUGAACACCACCACAGAAGAAAAUCAAUAUGAACGGUUGGCAUAUUGUGUUACACCAUACUACAGGAAACCCUAUGACACUCAACUCAAGAUAAAGGAAUCAAAUUUGAAAAAAUCUCUACAGAAAGUUAUCAAUAUUGUUCGUCAUACUCGAAAAGGACAGUACUCCCCAGCAGUUAAAAAAAUGGAUGAAGAAAAUGAUGGACAAAUGUGUGCUCUAGUUGGAGUUAAACCAGCGCCAGAAAUCUAUGGCUACCGUAACAAGGAUGAGAUGAGUAUUGGGCCAGAUGUGACCGGUGACAGGAGAGUUGUGGGCCUUUAUGUGGGCAAGGGAAGCAGUGGGAAGGUGGUGUGUGUCAGCCCCCAGCAUCUCGUCAUCAUGAAGAAAACACACGUUAAUAUCAUCAAUGCGUACCAGGACUUCCUUGACCAGUCGGCCUAUGUGAAAUACGGGAGGUCAGGCAUGAUAGGGUACUGGGACAGUGUGGUCAUCCGGUCAAGUCAGCAGCAAGACACCAUGGUGACAGUCAUGUUCAGGGCAAGACAGAAGUCAGCGGAUGAGUAUCAGGAGGCAAGAGAUGAACUCCGCCACUUCUUCCAACAAGGUCAAGGUCGUCAGCUGGGGGUCACAUCACUCUUCUUCAGACCAAGUUUCCAUAGUUACUGGAGCUACAGCACAGCACAUCACGUGAUGGGGUCACCGCACAUCUUUGAGGAGGUUCUGUCUCACAAGUUCCGCAUCUCCCCCGACUCCUUCUUCCAGACGAAUACGCCGGCCGCGGUGGUGCUGUACUCCACCGUAAGGGACUACGUGAAGCAAUCAGGCGCUGCCACUGUCAUCGAUGUCUGCUGUGGGACAGGAACUAUUGGUAUCCUCAUGGCAGACCUUGUGCAGGAUAUUGUGGGCGUUGAGAUGGUGAAACAGGCCAUUGAAGACGCAGUGUUUAAUGCGGAAAAUAAUGGUGUGAUGAAUGCUGAGUUUGUGUGCGGCAAGGCCCAUCGCUUCCUCCGGGAUGAGCUGCCACAGAGGAAGAUGUCGGGAUCAGCAGUGGCUGUUGUCAACCCGGGGAGAAACGGCAUCAGUGAGUUGACGAUACAAGAAAGUAGUGAAUGCCAUAAGACAGUGUAAAGAGAUCCGUCACCUCAUCUACGUCUCCUGUAAACCAUCUGGGAAUGUUCUCGUCAACUUUGCAGACCUGAUUGUGCCUAGGAGUGACAAGCUGGAAGGGGAGCCAUUUGUUCCAGUAGAGGCGGUUGGUGUUGAUAUGUUCCCGCACACGACGCACUGUGAACUGGUUGUCAUGUUUAGCAGGUGACCUGACGGGU
RNAcentral lists this unclassified non-coding RNA (1474 nucleotides) under Haliotis rufescens (red abalone). Its description in RNAcentral is "tRNA (uracil(54)-C(5))-methyltransferase homolog-B- like, transcript variant X1". The record is from RNAcentral. Lineage: Eukaryota; Metazoa; Mollusca; Gastropoda; Lepetellida; Haliotidae.